CUUGACGACCAUAGAGCAUUGGAACCACCUGAUCCCAUCCCGAACUCAGCAGUGAAACGAUGCAUC
RNAcentral lists this ribosomal RNA (66 nucleotides) under Pseudomonas plecoglossicida. RNAcentral also lists the same sequence under 1 other name. Lineage: Bacteria; Pseudomonadati; Pseudomonadota; Gammaproteobacteria; Pseudomonadales; Pseudomonadaceae. The record is from RNAcentral.